CCUACGGGAGGCAGCAGUGGGGGAUAUUGCACAAUGGGGGGAACCCUGAUGCAGCGACGCCGCGUGGGUGAAGAAGCGCCUCGGCGCGUAAAGCCCUGUCAGCAGGGAAGAAAAUGACGGUACCUGACGAAGAAGCCCCGGCUAACUACGUGCCAGCAGCCGCGGUAAUACGGUGGGUGCAAGCGUUAUCCCGAUUUACUGGGUGUAAAGGGGGCGCAGACGGCGAUGCAAGCCAGGAGUGAAAGCCCGGGGCCCAACCCCGGGACUGCUCUUGGAACUGCGUGGCUGGAUGGCAGGAGGGGCAGGCGGAAUUCCUGGUGUAGCGGUGAAAUGCGUAGAUAUCAGGAGGAACACCGGUGGCGAAGGCGGCCUGCUGGACUGCAACUGACGUUGAGGCCCGAAAGCGUGGGGAGCAAACAGGAUUAGAUACCCUUGUAGUC
This 440-nucleotide ribosomal RNA is filed under the name uncultured bacterium. Its description in RNAcentral is "partial 16S ribosomal RNA". It matches the Rfam family "Bacterial small subunit ribosomal RNA", at positions 338 to 795 of the family's 1533-position model. The record is from RNAcentral.